Molecule: long non-coding RNA, 1479 nt
Organism: Bos taurus (domestic cattle)
Lineage: Eukaryota; Metazoa; Chordata; Mammalia; Artiodactyla; Bovidae
Source: Ensembl
AUCAAAUCCAUUCAUUUGAUUAGGCUGAGAUGCGAAGUCAAUAUAGAUUGCAAUAUAUUGCUUUAGAAACAUGACUUCCACAUCACCAGGGUCUUCAUCGUCCCUGAGUUUACCACUGUCCUCUGGGCCCACCACUACUCCAUGCGGUUUUUGAUCCAGCACUUCUGGAACUGAUGUACGAGACUGUCACCAGGAGUUCUUGAGGAGCCUCGUGUACCCGCUGCUCAGAAGGAAGAGACCUGUGUGUGUCCACUUGGCUGAGGGAUCCUCGGUGAGAAGACUGUUCCUGGGUUUGGGUGGCCAUCAGGCGCAGGCACCCACAGCUCUCACCUGGUGCGGAUGCGUGGAGAGGUUUGGAAGCUCUAGGAGAAGAAAGAUGUUGGGAACAAAUAAUACCUGCUGAGACACUCUGAUGAGAGCAUGGGAUGAGAGGACUUCCUGAACCAUGAUGUGCUCCCUGCUCCCUCGACCCCACUGGAACAGGCGUGUCCUCACUUCCUGGGGCUGGAGUGCAAAAGUAGAAAGUCAAGAAAGCUGGAGUAACAGGCAAAUUUGGCAAACACCCUCUUCCAGCAACACAAGAGAAGACUCUACACAUGGACAUCACCAGAUGGUCAACACCGAAAUCAGACUGAUUACAUUCUUUGCAGCCAAAGAUGGAGAAGCUCUAUAUAGUCAGCAAAAAUAAGACGAGGAGCUGACUGUGGCUCAGAUCAUGAACUCCUUAUUACCAAAUUCAGACUUAAAUUGAAGAAAGUAGGGAAAACCACUAGACCAUUCAGGUAUGACCUAAAUCAAAUCCCUUAUGAUUAUACAGUGGAAGUGAGAAAUAGAUUUAAGGGCCUAGAUCUGAUAGAUAGAGUGCCUGAUGAGCUAUGGAAUGAGGUUCAUGGCAUUGUUCAGGAGACAGGGAUCAAGACCAUCCCCAUGGAAAAGAAAUGCAAACAAGCAAAAUGGCUGUCUGGGGAGGCCUUACAAAUAGCUGUGAAAAGAAGAGAAGCAAAAAGCAAAGGAGAAAAGGAAAGAUAUAAGCAUCUGAAUGCAGAGUUCCAAAGAAUAGCAAAAAGAGAUAAGAAAGCCUUCUUUAGUGAUCAAUGCAAAGAAAUACAGGAAAACAACAGAAUGGGAAAGACUAGAGAUCUCUUCAAGAAAAUUAGAGAUACCAAGGGAACAUUUCAUGCAAAGAUGGGCUCAAUAAAGGACAGAAAUGGUAUGGACCUAACAGAAGCAGAAGAUGUUAAGAGGAGGUGGCAAGAAUACACAGAAGAACUGUACAAAAAAGAUCUUCACGACUCAGAUAAUCAUGAUGGUGUGAUCACUGACCUAGAGCCAGACAUUCUGGAAUGUGAAGUCAAGUGGGCCUUAGAAAGCAUCACUAUGAACAAAGCUAGUGGAGGUAAUGGAAUUCCAGUUGAGCUAUUCCAAAUCCUGAAAGAUGAUGCUGUGAAAGUGCUGCACUCAAUAUGCCAGCAAAUUGGG